GACGAACGCUGGCGGCGUGCUUAACACAUGCAAGUCGAACGGAAAGGCCCUGCUUUUGUGGGGUGCUCGAGUGGCGAACGGGUGAGUAACACGUGAGUAACCUGCCCUUGACUUUGGGAUAACUUCAGGAAACUGGGGCUAAUACCGGAUAUGAGCUCCUGCUGCAUGGUGGGGGUUGGAAAGUUUCGGCGGUUGGGGAUGGACUCGCGGCUUAUCAGCUUGUUGGUGGGGUAGUGGCUUACCAAGGCUUUGACGGGUAGCCGGCCUGAGAGGGUGACCGGCCACAUUGGGACUGAGAUACGGCCCAGACUCCUACGGGAGGCAGCAGUGGGGAAUAUUGCACAAUGGGCGGAAGCCUGAUGCAGCAACGCCGCGUGCGGGAUGACGGCCUUCGGGUUGUAAACCGCUUUCGCCUGUGACGAAGCGUGAGUGACGGUAAUGGGUAAAGAAGCACGGGCUAAUUACGUG
RNAcentral lists this ribosomal RNA (468 nucleotides) under uncultured bacterium. RNAcentral describes it as "partial 16S ribosomal RNA". It matches the Rfam family "Bacterial small subunit ribosomal RNA", at positions 28 to 507 of the family's 1533-position model. The record is from RNAcentral.